UACGUAGGCAGCAAGCGUUGUUCGGAAUUACUGGGCGUAAAGAGUGUGUAGGCGGUGCUCUAAGUCUGUUGUGAAAUCUCCCGGCUUAACUGGGAGGGUGCGGCGGAGACUGGAGUGCUAGAGUGUGGGAGAGGUAAGCGGAAUUCCUGGUGUAGCGGUGAAAUGCGUAGAUAUCGGGAGGAACACCAGUGGCGAAGGCGGUUGCCUGGAGCUUUGCUGACGCUGAUGCGCGAAAGCGUGGGGAGCGAGUCCGG
This 254-nucleotide ribosomal RNA is filed under the name uncultured bacterium. Its description in RNAcentral is "partial 16S ribosomal RNA". It matches the Rfam family "Bacterial small subunit ribosomal RNA", at positions 524 to 777 of the family's 1533-position model. The record is from RNAcentral.